CCGGUGACGUAUCCUUCAAAUGUCUGACUUAUCAGCUGUCGAUGGUAGACUCUGCGUCUACCAUGGCGCUCACGGGUGACGGGGAAUCAGGGUUCGAUUCCGGAGAGGGAGCCUGAGAAACGGCUACCACAUCCAAGGAAGGCAGCAGGCACGCAAAUUACCCACUCCCGGCACGGGGAGGUAGUGACAAAAAAUAACGAUACGGGACUCAUCCGAGGCCCCGUAAUCGGAAUGAGAACACUCUAAAUCCUUUAACGAUGAUCUAUUGGAGGGUAAGUCUGGUGCCAGCAGCCGCGGUAAUUCCAGCUCCAAUAGCGUAUAUUAAAGUUGUUGCGGUUAAAAAGCUCGUAGUUGGUUCUGCGUGCCACGCUGUCGGUUCACCGCCUGCCGGUGCAACUGGCAUGCCGUGGCAUGUCCUGCCGGUGGCGGAUAGGCCUCGCGGCGCUCCCUAUGCGGCAUCCGCCGUGUAGGUGCUGUCGCCGCGUCGUCCUUGUACGCCGACUCAAUCCUACCGCGGUGCUCUUUACCGAGUGUCGAGGUAGGCCGGCACUGUUUACUUUGAACAAAUUAGAGUGCUUCAGGCAGGCUCUUAAAUCAGCCUGAAUAGUGGUGCAUGGAAUAAUGGAACAGGACCUUGGUUCUAUUUUGUUGGUUUCCGGAAUCCAAGGUAAUGAUCAAUAAGGACAGGCGGGGGCAUUCGUAUUGCGACGUUAGAGGUGAAAUUCUUGGAUCGUCGCAAGACGCACUAAAGCGAAAGCAUUUGCCAAGUAUGUCUUAAUUGAUC
RNAcentral lists this ribosomal RNA (784 nucleotides) under Macropes exilis. RNAcentral describes it as "SSU rRNA". It matches the Rfam family "Eukaryotic small subunit ribosomal RNA", at positions 284 to 978 of the family's 1831-position model. The record is from RNAcentral. Lineage: Eukaryota; Metazoa; Arthropoda; Insecta; Hemiptera; Blissidae.